This 367-nucleotide long non-coding RNA is filed under the name Rattus norvegicus (Norway rat). RNAcentral describes it as "long non-coding RNA NONRATT026760". Lineage: Eukaryota; Metazoa; Chordata; Mammalia; Rodentia; Muridae. The record is from RNAcentral.
GCUCAGAUGACACAGGGAUACCAGCACAUUUGGAGCCUCCCGGUGGCCCCGUUCUCCGACAGCGCGUACCAUUUCCGGGUAGCUGCACCAGAUUUAGCCGACUGUUCGACAGACCCUUUUUUCGCUGGGAUUUUCUUCACAGAUUACUUUUUUUAUUUCUAUCGACGUUGUAACUAAUUUAUUCAAGUUUGAGGGCGUUACCAAAGGAAAGCACUGAGAGACACAGUUAACAGAAGCUGGUAUUUCCUCUCACAACUUUGUUUACUUCUCUGUCAAGCGAGCACAUCGUUUUCUGAAGGACCCUUUCAGGUUUGGCCUCCAACGGCUUCUAAUGAGGAGAAUAAAGUGUUUGCCAGGGACUGAGAAA